RNAcentral lists this ribosomal RNA (312 nucleotides) under Triticum aestivum (bread wheat). Its description in RNAcentral is "partial small subunit ribosomal RNA". The record is from RNAcentral. Lineage: Eukaryota; Viridiplantae; Streptophyta; Magnoliopsida; Poales; Poaceae.
AAGUUCUACCUAGGAGAUGUUGGCUAUGCAUGUCGACAAGGUAUUCUUCCACCCUUUAGGAAAACCAGGUACCAUUUGAACGAGUUCGCUGAUUGGAACUAUCCUAGGACUCCACAUGAGCUGUUCAAUCUCAGAGACUUCGGCCUUAGAGUUACUAGUGAGAGGGCCUUUGGAGCUCUGAAGAACAGGUUUAAUAUCCUAGAUCAGAAGCCAUUCCACACUUUCCCCACUUAGGUUAAGUUUGUUCUUGCUUGUUGUAUUCUGCAUAAUUGGAUCAUGCAAUGGGGUGUUGAUGAAUGGUUAGAGUUGUAG